RNAcentral lists this ribosomal RNA (1539 nucleotides) under Triticum aestivum (bread wheat). RNAcentral describes it as "partial small subunit ribosomal RNA". The record is from RNAcentral. Lineage: Eukaryota; Viridiplantae; Streptophyta; Magnoliopsida; Poales; Poaceae.
AUGGACCCCGCGGCCCAGCCACUGCUCGCCACGGCGGAGCACGACCACGAGGCUGACGGGCGCAUCACCGUCGUGCCCGGGAACGGAAACAAACACGCCGAGGACGAGGACGAAGAAGCGGAGGAGAUGUCCACGGCCACGCAGAGCCGGCUGGAGGAGAGCGGCACAGCCUCGGCUGGCGCCGGCGACGAGGCGGACGAAGAGAUGGCAUCGCGCAUGCAGCGCCGCCUGGACGCUCUUCCGGGGAAGCCUCACGAGAGCGAGCCCUUCACCAUCUUCCGAGUGGCGGGGCCCAUGCGCGACCGCAACCGCCACCUCUACGAGCCGCAGAUGGUCUCCGUCGGCCCCUUCCACCGGGGCGCUGCCCGCCUCCGCGCCAUGGAGGAGCACAAGUGGCGCUACCUCCGCGACCUCCUCGCGCGGGGCCACGCGCCGCUCGCGUCCUACGCCCGCGCCGCGCGGGCCCUCGAGCCCGCUGCGCGCCGCCGCUACGCCGAGCCCACCGAUGACCUCCUCACGCCGCGGGACUUCGCCGAGAUGCUGCUCCUCGACGGCUGUUUCAUCGUCGAGUUCUUCCUCAAGGGCGAGGACGGCGCCGCCGACGCGCUCAUCGACGCCGCCUGGGCCAUGCAGAACGUCUACAGCGACCUCUUCCUCCUCGAGAACCAGCUCCCCUUCUUCGUCCUCGAGCGCUUCUACGCCAUCGCCACCGGCGGCCGAGGCCGCGACCACCUCGUCACCAGCCUCCUCGCCAAGUACCUCACAGUCGAGACCCCGCAGGACGCCGCCACGGCGAGGCCCCCCGACGGCGAGAUCCUACACCUGCUGCACCUCUACUACCACUGGUUCCUCCCACCACAAGACGAGGACGCCGCCGUCCCUCCCGCCGGCGGCGACAGCAACAAGAUCGCCGAGGAGGAGGAGGCGUUCAACGAGUGGCUGGCCAAGCCCAUGGACGAGCGCUUGCCGUGGGUGCUCCCCUCAGCGUCGGAGCUGGAGGACGCCGGCGUCACGUUCCGGGCCAAGAAGUCCCCCCGGAGCCUCGUCGACGUGACGUUCCGCGCCCGCGACGGCGUGCUCGAGAUCCCGGCCGUGGAGAGCUACACGAACCGCGCCAUGUUCGCGAACCUCCUAGCGUACGAGCAGAGUCGGGGCCGGUGGGAGCUGCAGCGGCUGAUGAGCUACGUGGUGCUCAUGGCGUCGGUGGCGUCCCACGGGCGGCGCGACGUGGAGAUCCUGCAGCGGGCCGGGGUGUUCGUCAAGGGGGACGAGGAGACGGCGGCGUUCUACGCGCACCUGGGCGAGCUCUGCGGCGGUGCCGCCGCCGGCACGCCGGGCGUCGCCAACAACUGCUACGCCGACAUGUUCCGCGACGUGAGGGGAUACUGCGGCCGCAGCUGGAACCGGCACCGCGCCGUGCUCGCUCACGACUACUUCAGCAACCCGUGGACGAGCAUGUCAGCCGCCGCCGCUGUGCUCCUGCUCAUCCUCACCGUCGUGCAGACUGUGUACACCGUGCUGCCGUACUACCACCAAUAG